GACGAACGCUGGCGGCGUGCCUAAUACAUGCAAGUCGAACGCACUCUCGUUUAGAUUGAAGGAGCUUGCUCCUGAUUGAUAAACAUUUGAGUGAGUGGCGGACGGGUGAGUAACACGUGGGUAACCUGCCCUAAAGUGGGGGAUAACAUUUGGAAACAGAUGCUAAUACCGCAUAAAACCUAACACCGCAUGGUGUAGGGUUGAAAGAUGGUUUCGGCUAUCACUUUAGGAUGGACCCGCGGUGCAUUAGUUAGUUGGUGAGGUAAAGGCUCGCCAAGACCGUGAUGCAUAGCCGACCUGAGAGGGUAAUCGGCCACACUGGGACUGAGACACGGCCCAGACUCCUACGGGAGGCAGCAGUAGGGAGUCUUCCACAAUGGACGAAAGUCUGAUGGAGCAACGCCGCGUGAGUGAAGAAGGUUUUCGGAUCGUAAAACUCUGUUGUUGGAGAAGGAAAUGUAUCUGAUAGUAACUGAUCAGGUAGUGACGGUAUCC
This 495-nucleotide ribosomal RNA is filed under the name uncultured bacterium. RNAcentral's name for it is "bacterial SSU rRNA". It matches the Rfam family "Bacterial small subunit ribosomal RNA", at positions 28 to 480 of the family's 1533-position model. The record is from RNAcentral.